AGUGGAUGGGGAGCAACCUAGUUGUGCGUGUGUAAAGGUAGUGCCAAGAAAAGCGAUGAUCAUGUUGAAAAUCAAUUCCCGGUACCCGAAACCGACACAGGUGGGCAAGUAGAGAAUACUAAGGGGCGCGAGGUAACUCUCUCCAAGGAACUCGGCAAAAUGACCCCGUAACUUAGGGAGAAGGGGUGCCACCGAGAGGUGGUCGCAGUGAAGAGGCCCAGGCGACUGUUUAGCAAAAACAUAGGUCUCUGCAAACUCGAAAGAGGAGGUAUAGGGGCUGACCCUGCCCAGUGCCGGAAGGUUAAAGAAGUUGGUCAGUUUUAGGAUGAAGCUAGCGACUGAAGCCCCGGUGAACGGCGGCCGUAACUAUAACGGUCCUAAGGUAGCGAAAUUCCUUGUCGGGUAAGUUCCGACCCGCACGAAAGUCGUAACGAUCUGGGCGCUGUCUCGGAGAGAGGCUCGUCGAAAUAGGAUUGUCUGUGAAGAUACGGACUACCUGCAUUUGGACAGAAAGACCCUAUGAAGCUUUACUAUAGCUUGGAAUUGUGUUCGGGCUUCCUGUGCGCAGGAUAGGUGGGAGGCGUAGAAGGUAUUCUUGUGGGGAUACUGGAGCCAACGGUGAGAUACCACUCUCAGGAGGCUAGAAUUCUAACUUAAUUAAGGACAGUUUCAGGUGGGUAGUUUGACUGGGGCGGUCGCCUCCAAAAAGGUAACGGAGGCGUACAAAGGUUCCCUCAGACUGGUUGGAAAUCAGUCGAAGAGUGCAAAGGCAGAAGGGAGCUUGACUGCGAGAAGUACAGUUCGAGCAGGGUGGAAACACGGUCUUAGUGAUCCGACGGUCUGUGUGGAAGGGCCGUCGCUCAACGGAUAAAAGUUACUCUAGGAUAACAGGCUGAUCUCCCCCAAGAGUUCACAUCGACGGGGAGGUUUGGCACCUCGAUGUCGGCUCAUCGCAACCUGGGGCGGAAGUACGUCCCAAGGGUUGGGCUGUUCGCCCAUUAAAGCGGUACGUGAGCUGGGUUCAGAACGUCGUGAGACAGUUCGGUCCAUAUCCGAUGUAGGCGUGAGAAUAUUGAGAGGAGCCUUCCUUAGUACGAGAGGACCGGGAAGGACGCACCGCUGGUGUACCUGUUAUGAUGCCAAUUGUAAACGCAGGGUAGCCAAGUGCGGAGAGGAUAACCGCUGAAAGCAUCUAAGUGGGAAGCCCACCUCAAGAUGAGUAUUCUGGUGUAAGGUCACGGGAAGACGACCCGUAAAUAGGCACGAGGUGGAAGUGCAGAGAUGUAUGAAGCCGAAGUGUACUAAUAGACCGUCGGCUUGACCA
Molecule: ribosomal RNA, 1324 nt
Filed under: metagenome
Description: bacterial LSU rRNA
Rfam family: Bacterial large subunit ribosomal RNA
Source: RNAcentral